Molecule: long non-coding RNA, 441 nt
Filed under: Crocodylus porosus (Australian saltwater crocodile)
Lineage: Eukaryota; Metazoa; Chordata; Crocodylia; Crocodylidae
Description: lncRNA (ENSCPRG00005003104.1)
Source: RNAcentral
GCGGCCAGGAGCGCCCGGCGCAGGUGGGCUCUCCCCGCCCCACACUGGUUUCUCUUCCGAGGUUGCUCCUUCGCCUCCAGCGCCCGAGCAAGGGCAGGCAGGGGACCGACUCCUCUUGUGAUGCGUUGGGGGGACUGUUCUGGGGUCUCUCGCCGAAGCCAGGACCGCGCCCACAAACGGCUUUCCAAAGUCGCAGUCCUGGAGGCCCCACCUUGGCUGAAGGCACAAGCUGCUGUCAUCCCCCAAAAGCCCUUGCAGAGAACGUGCUGGUUCCUUGGCCGCACUCUGUCCACUGAUGUCACAGGGGCCUUGGUAAUAGGAUCUGCUUGCCCUGAGGGGUGAAAGAGAAGAAUGCAGCUAGCCCAAAAGUACUGUCUCUUGAACUUGCCUUAAGGAGAAAUCCUCAUUGCCUUUGUACAUUACUUCAGUGGUAUACGCUGG